Molecule: long non-coding RNA, 2522 nt
Organism: Lepus europaeus (European hare)
Lineage: Eukaryota; Metazoa; Chordata; Mammalia; Lagomorpha; Leporidae
Exons: 2
Source: RefSeq, a predicted model, not a curated record
AGGCAGAGGCAGAGGAAAGGAGGUCCUCCAUCCACUGGUUCACUCCCCAGAUGUCUGCAAUGGCCAGAGCUGCACCAAUCCGAAGCCAAGAGCCAGGAGCCUCUUCCAGGUUUCCCAUGAACACUUGGAGACAGACACCUGAGGAAGAAUGCCGUGUGAAUACGAUAAUGGCCAUCUACAAACCAAGGAGAAGUAUGGGACAGAUUCUCACAGUCCUCAGAAGGAACCAACUCCGCCAACACCUUAAUUUCAUGUUGUUAACAGAGCCCUACAAAACUGAUAACUACACUGUAGAGCUAGACCUCCUGACCAUUUAGAAGCUUACCAGUUAAAGCCAAUGUCCUGAAAUUGCUACAGGAUUUUUACUAAUACAGAGAAUAGUCUACUACAGACUGAUAUGGAAGGAAAGAAAGCUCAUGUUUCUCAAAUCUUCCUCAGAAUAAGUGUUUUGAUGGGAAAACUCACUUAUUUGCUUAUAAUUUGCUCAAGUGCUCUACAAACUUCAAACUUUCCCUGAUCUCAAUUAAAUGCAUUAUUUUCCAGAAUAGGGACAAGACAUUUAUUGCCUAGUUUUACAAGAAACACUGCUGUUUUGCAGGUAGAUUACAGUGCAUACUUUUUAAAGAAAACUGAUUUGUAAGUUCAUUUGAUUAAAUGAGACAAGAUAUUUGGAAACAUAUUGAAUUGUCACACAGUUGGAGGAUGAACACUUUAAUGGCUGAUCAGAAAAUGGAAUUAAAUGUACAAAUCAGUGUAUACUUUCCAAACGAUAAAACAAGCUAAAAAACAAACAAACAAAAACCUCAUGCAGUCCUACCACAAUAUGGUGAUUCAGGGAUACUGCUAACAAACUAAGUUAAUAACACAAGUAAAGAAAAGAACCCAGAUAUUUUAUUAGUACAUUCUUUUCAUUACCUAGGAAAUAAUAAGCAUAUCUGCAAUGACCUAUUUUCAGGGAUCUUCUGGAUUUAUUAAACCCAAACACCGAAUGUCUUGGCAUUAACAUUUCUGCCAUGGCAGUGCAAAACAGCUCUCUUCACAGUGCCAUUUUAGGUUGGUACUAUGCGAUAGUGAGAAUUAAUUGUAGGAGUAUUUUGUAAUUCUGUUUUGAAACAAAAUACAGAUUGUCUGUAACAAGAAAUAGUAAAGGCACAUAAGUGAGAUCUUAAAUAGUCUACACUUUAUAACAUGCAAAUAGUUAAUUUAUGAAAGAAAGUAUACUGUGGGCCAAACCAAAUAUUUUAGAUAUGAGUGCUACCUGAGUUUUUAAUGCUGUCCAAAGAUUUUCUAUGUUAAGUUGCUGAUGCUUCCAACAAUAUACUGAAGGAUCUCAGUAAAUAAGAACUCAAAUCCUUUAGUCAGCAAGUUAAACCUUAAUGUAUUCAAGACCUUUAAUAACUGGCCAGUAAGAAUAAUUUAUAAGUAAUGUUCCCACACAAAAGAUGAAUCUUCCUCUCAGGAAUGAACAAAACAAUUCUGUUGAAUGUUUUUCUGGGGAAAAAGUUUUGAGUUUUUCAUAUUUUGGAAUAUUUACAUAGACUACACUAGUUGAGCAUCCCUCAUCCCAAAAUUCAAAUUGCUCUAAAUUCUGGCAUCAUGUCAGCACUCAAAAAGCUAGAUUUCAGAUUUCUGGAUUAGGGAUACUCAAUCUGUACCUAUAACUGAGCCUUCUCCAAGCCAAGCGGCAGCUUUGUAGUAAGUCAGUUUUCAGGCUUGCCCAAGUACGAGCAGAUUCACAGAGCACGAUAAUCUAAUCAAAUUUCCUCUUCCUGAAGCCAUCCAUAUAAUUUUGAUGAUUGUCUCAAAAACAAAGAAGAAAUUUCUAAAUGCAUAAUACUAAAUGCCUGAUGAGCUCUAUCACCCAUUACAACAUCCUAGUAUUAUCAAAUCAUUAAGAACCUCCAAUUAAUUCUGCACUUGCAUUCUCAAAAUCAAGACAAAAAUAAUGGGGGAGCAAAAGAUUUUCUUAGGUGUUAGCAACAAGCAAAUACAUCUAUAUAAAUGGUAAAUAUUUCCCACAUACCCCUCCCAAGUCUAUCUGCUGCCAACAAAAGGUUUAACUGUUGAAAAGUUCUGCCAUCAAAUAAAAGUGAGAAGUUGUUUCAUUGGCUUUCUAUAGGGUAAACUACCAUCAUGGAAAAUUGUGCUCUGGGUUAAAUCAUCAGUGAAAAGUUUUAAAACUGUCUCACUGGGCCGGCUCCACGGCUCACCAGGCUAAUCUUCUGCCUGCAGAGCUGGCACUCUGGGUUCUAGUCCUGGUUAGGGUGCCGGAUUCUGUCCCGGUUGCUCCUUUUCCAGUCCUGCUCUCUGCUGUAGCCUGGAAAGGCAGUGGAGGAUGGCCCAAGUGCUUGGGCCCUGCACCCACAUGGGAGACCAGGACGAGGCACCUGGCUCCUGGCUUCAGAUCAGUGCAGCGCCGGCCGUAGCGGCCAUCUGGGGGGUGAAACAACGCAAGGAAGACCUUUCUCUCUGUCUCUCUCUAUCUCUGCCUGUCAAAAAAAAAAACAAAAACAAAACAAAAC